UACGUAGGGAGCAAGCGUUGUCCGGAAUCAUUGGGCGUAAAGCGCGCGUAGGUGGCUUCGUAAGUCCGUUGUGAAAGUCAAAGGCUCAACCUUUGAAAGCCGAUGGAUACUGCGGAGCUAGAGUACGGAAGAGGCGAGUGGAAUUCCCGGUGUAGCGGUGAAAUGCGCAGAUAUCGGGAGAACACCUAUGGCGAAGGCAGCUCGCUGGGACGGUACUGACGCUGAAACACGAAAGCGUGGGUAGCAAACAGG
Molecule: ribosomal RNA, 252 nt
Filed under: uncultured bacterium
Lineage: Bacteria
Description: partial 16S ribosomal RNA
Rfam family: Bacterial small subunit ribosomal RNA
Source: RNAcentral